This 497-nucleotide ribosomal RNA is filed under the name uncultured bacterium. Its description in RNAcentral is "partial 16S ribosomal RNA". It matches the Rfam family "Bacterial small subunit ribosomal RNA", at positions 28 to 507 of the family's 1533-position model. The record is from RNAcentral.
GAUGAACGCUGGCGGCGUGCCUAAUACAUGCAAGUCGAGCGAACGGACGAGAAGCUUGCUUCUCUGAUGUUAGCGGCGGACGGGUGAGUAACACGUGGAUAACCUACCUAUAAGACUGGGAUAACUUCGGGAAACCGGAGCUAAUACCGGAUGAUAUUUUGAACCGCAUGGUUCAAAAGUGAAAGACGGUCUUGCUGUCACUUAUAGAUGGAUCCGCGCUGCAUUAGCUAGUUGGUAAGGUAACGGCUUACCAAGGCAACGAUGCAUAGCCGAGCUGAGAGGUGGAUCGGCCACAUUGGAACUGAGACACGGUCCAGACUCCUACGGGAGGCAGCAGUGGGGAAUCUUCCGCAAUGGGCGAAAGCCUGACGGAGCAACGCCGCGUGAGUGAUGAAGGUCUUCGGAUCGUAAAACUCUGUUAUUAGGGAAGAAUAUAUGUGUAAGUAACUGUGCACAUCUUGACGGUACCUAAUCAGAAAGCCACGGCUAACUACGUG